This 356-nucleotide ribosomal RNA is filed under the name uncultured Sphingomonadaceae bacterium. RNAcentral's name for it is "bacterial SSU rRNA". It matches the Rfam family "Bacterial small subunit ribosomal RNA", at positions 29 to 412 of the family's 1533-position model. Lineage: Bacteria; Pseudomonadati; Pseudomonadota; Alphaproteobacteria; Sphingomonadales; Sphingomonadaceae. The record is from RNAcentral.
AACGAACGCUGGCGGCAUGCCUAACACAUGCAAGUCGAACGAAGCCUUCGGGCUUAGUGGCGCACGGGUGCGUAACGCGUGGGAAUCUGCCCUGGGGUACGGAAUAACAGCGGGAAACUGUUGCUAAUACCGUAUGAUGUCGAGAGACCAAAGAUUUAUCGCCCUGGGAUGAGCCCGCGUUGGAUUAGCUAGUUGGUGGGGUAAAGGCCUACCAAGGCGACGAUCCAUAGCUGGUCUGAGAGGAUGAUCAGCCACACUGGGACUGAGACACGGCCCAGACUCCUACGGGAGGCAGCAGUGGGGAAUAUUGGACAAUGGGCGAAAGCCUGAUCCAGCAAUGCCGCGUGAGUGAAGAA